Pelobates cultripes (western spadefoot toad) is the source of this 305-nucleotide non-coding RNA. NCBI's taxonomy places the organism in Eukaryota, Metazoa, Chordata, Amphibia, Anura, Pelobatidae. The record is from the annotation of a GenBank genome assembly.
GUUACUGCUGCAGACAUACAGUAGUAUGAGCCGGGUCCCCAAGGAUGGAAUAGCACACCCGUCUGCCGUCCUGAAGGGGUUAAACAGAUAGUGUCAAGAUCACAACAACUUUGUCUGUCACACAGAUGGUAUAGUAAGGUUUCUUAGUAUAUCAUUAUGCUUCAGACUGUUAUGUAGGCUUUAAAGCUUUCUUGUAAGUAAUAAUGUUUCCUUGUAUAUGCAAAUCUCGUUAAAACCCUGCAUCUAUGGAUUAUUGAACACUGGAAAACGAACUAUAUUACUAUGUGGGCUUGGUGAAAAUUAAC